GCAUCGGUGGUUCAGUGGUAGAAUGCCCGCCUGCCAUGCUGGCGGCCAAAGUUCGAUCCCCGGCCGAUGCA
This 71-nucleotide transfer RNA is filed under the name Haemonchus placei. It matches the Rfam family "tRNA". Rfam says of the family: Transfer RNA (tRNA) molecules are approximately 80 nucleotides in length. Their secondary structure includes four short double-helical elements and three loops (D, anti-codon, and T loops). The record is from Rfam by way of RNAcentral. Lineage: Eukaryota; Metazoa; Nematoda; Chromadorea; Rhabditida; Trichostrongylidae.